Macaca mulatta (Rhesus monkey) is the source of this 471-nucleotide non-coding RNA. NCBI's taxonomy places the organism in Eukaryota, Metazoa, Chordata, Mammalia, Primates, Cercopithecidae. The record is from RefSeq and is a predicted model, not a curated record.
GGGGGAGGGGCAAAAGGAGGGCUGGACUCGGGUACGAAGGGAUUCGGCGCGCUGGCUGCACCGGAGCGGACAGGUCGGCUGGGCGCAGUGACUCAUGCCUGUAAUCCCAGCACUUUGGGAGGGCCAGGAUUCAUUGUGUAAUGAAUUGAGUGGUGGGAAAACAGCAAUGAAUGAGACAGAUCCAGUCCCGGCACAAAGAAGGCUGUCCAGACCGGGGGAAGUGACAGGGUGGCCCGAAAUCCAAUGAUAAAUGACCUUAGAAGAGAAGGGGGGAAGACACAGAGGAGAAGGCCAAGUGAAGACAGAGGCAGGGCUUGGAGCAAUACAGCCACAAGCAAGGAACCAUCAGAGGCUGGAAGAAGAAAGGGUGAAUCCUCGCCUAGUGCCUUCGGCGGGAUUGCAGCCCUGCGCCGCCCUGAUUGCAACCUCUGGCCUCCGGAAUGGUGAAAUAAUAAAUUCUUGUUGUUUUCA